AGACGGGCGGGCGCAUGACGCAAUCCGCGUCCAGAAAGUAGGAAGCAAGAGGCCCGCCAAGGCCCGUUGUAUCCAUCACUUUGCGUCUCGCCGCACACCAGGCGCAAGUUAGCUUCGCCUGAGCUCCUACUAAGAGGCUUUCUCAUCUGCUCGUGGGAGGAGGCUGCUGCCUGCGAUGGACGAAGAAGCAGACAUUUACGAAGGCAUGAGGGCGCAGUUCCCUCUCUCCUUUGGCAAGCAAACCAAAGCUCCCACCCCUCUCGAAGCCAUACACAACACCACCCGGCGCACCCUAGAAUCACCCCCACCCCCCGUCUCCAACAAAACCAUCCCUUCUCUCUCCUCCUCUUCCAAGUCAUGGCUAAACGACUUCCGAAACCCUAACCCUAAUUCUCGUCCUCGAAACCCUGGCCUCGAUACCCACUCCUCAGACCUCAGAAAUCCUAGCUCCGUGCCUGCUGCGGCCGGACCAAGCGUUCCUGAAGCUCGAGAAUUAGAAACCUUCAAUGCGGACGAAGAUGGUGACGAUGGAGUGAUGAUUGGACCUCCCCGGCCGCCUCUGGACUCCACUGAGUCCGAUUCGGAUGAUGAUUCGGAUGAUGAGUCGGAUGGUGAGUUGGAGAAUUCGUAUCGGAUACCGUUCAGUAAUGAGAUAGUCUUGAAGGGGCAUACAAAGGUUGUCUCUGCCCUUGCUGUUGAUCAUUCAGGAUCUAGGGUGCUUUCUGGCAGCUAUGACUACUCCGUUCGCAUGUAUGAUUUCCAAGGAAUGAACUCCCGGUUGGCAUCAUUCAGACAGCUGGAACCUUUUGAAGGACACCAAGUCCGUAGUUUAAGUUGGAGUCCAACCGCAGACCGGUUUCUGUGUGUAACAGGUUCAGCACAGGCAAAGAUUUAUGACCGUGAUGGGCUUACUUUGGGUGAAUUCGUAAAGGGAGACAUGUACAUUCGUGACUUGAAGAAUACCAAGGGGCAUAUCUCAGGAUUGACUUGUGGAGAGUGGCACCCAAAAGCUAAGGAGACAAUCUUAACAUCCUCGGAGGAUGGAUCACUGCGUAUAUGGGAUGUAUCUGACUUCAAAAGUCAGAAACAGGUCAUCAAACCCAAGCUGGCAAGGCCAGGAAGAGUACCAGUUACCACAUGUGCAUGGAAUCAUGAUGGAAAAUACAUUGCUGGUGGUAUUGGAGAUGGUUCCAUACAGAUAUGGAACAUCAAGCCUGGAUGGGGAAGCAGACCAGAUAUACAUGUUGAGAAAGGUCAUGAGGAUGAUAUAACCGGACUCAAGUUCUCUAGUGAUGGACAGAUUCUUUUGUCAAGAAGCACCGAUGGUACACUAAAGGUUUGGGAUUUGCGGCAAAUGAAAAGGCCCCUUCAAGUAUUUGAAGACCUGCCAAAUAAUUAUGCUCAGACAAACGUUGCCCUCAGUCCCGAUGAACAACUUAUCUUUACUGGAACCUCUGUUGAAAGAGAGGGCACAAGUGGAGGUUUGCUGUGUUUCUAUGACCGGAAAAAGCUCGAACUUGUAUCCAGAGUGGGAAUAUCACCAACAUGCAGUGUCGUGCAAUGUUAUUGGCAUGGAAAGCUCAAUCAGGUCCUUGCUACUGUUGGGGACAAGAAACAAGGAGGGACUCACAUACUAUAUGAUCCAACCCUCAGUGAGAGAGGAGCUCUCGUAUGUGUUGCACGCGCACCUCGUAAAAAGUCCAUCGAUGAUUUUGAGGCAAAGCCUGUUAUUCACAACCCUCAUGCACUCCCCUUGUUUAGAGACCAACCAAGCCGUAAACGUCAGCGAGAAAAGGCAUUGAAGGACCCACUUAAAUCACACAAGCCCGACUUACCUGUCACAGGUCCUGGCUUUGGUGGAAGAGUUGGUUCUACUAAAGGGAGCUUAUUGACACAGUACCUUCUCAAGCAAGGGGGUAUGAUUAAGGAGACAUGGAUGGAAGAAGAUCCAAGAGAGGCUAUACUGAAAUACGCUGAUGUUGCAGCAAAAGACCCAAAAUAUAUUGCACCUGCAUAUCAAGAUACUCAACCAGAACCAGUUUUUGCAAAGUCAGAUUCUGAGGAAGAGAAAUAACAAUAAUAACCAUGUCUUUUGAUGCAGCAGAAUAUCUGUUUACCUCCGAGUCUUUAAUCCUGCACUAAACUCUAACAUCCGUAUCAAAGAUCCAUAUGACACAGUUCCCAUAUUAAAGUACCCUAAGGCUCUAACAGAACAUCCUGGAGUGAGUUUGAGUUUUGGACAAGGUUAAAAAGAAAAGAAGAAAAAGAAAAAGAACAAGAAAAGAAAGAAAGAAAUUCCUGAUUGCAUGCUGCCAGAUCAGUAUUGUUCUAUUCCUAUAUGAAAGUGCCCCAAGGCUCAAACAGAACAUCCCUGAAAUAGUGCAGCAGUCAGCAUUCGUGGAGAUGCCAAUGAGGAGUGACUGUAAUGCCGAUUACCCUGCAAGACAAUUGAAUGACUUAGGUGCUUAUCUUAGUGGUCCUCUGGUGUGGAGUAAAAAAAAAAUAACCCAACUGAUAUGCUAAGGAUAGCAAGUCUAUCAAAUAGUUCACUUUUCAUUCAACCAUGUAAGCAGCAACUGCUCAUUAUUAAUUGAAGGGAAGAAGAGUAGUUUGUCAUUUUAUGUUCAGUCACUGGAUAGAAUGGGGAGGAUAGGCCCAUUAUUGCCUGUCUAUAAAUAUCGAAUUUGGAUGCCUAAUA
Molecule: RNA transcript, 2698 nt
Organism: Magnolia sinica
Lineage: Eukaryota; Viridiplantae; Streptophyta; Magnoliopsida; Magnoliales; Magnoliaceae
Exons: 11
Source: RefSeq, a predicted model, not a curated record